GAUGAACGCUGGCGGCGCGCCUAAUACAUGCAAGUCGAGCGAACAGACGAGGAGCUUGCUCCUCUGACGUUAGCGACGGACGGGUGAGUAACACGUGGAUAACCUACCUAUAAGACUGGGAUAACUUCGGGAAACCGGAGCUAAUACCGGAUAAUAUAUUGAACCGCAUGGUUCAAUAGUGAAAGACGGUUUUGCUGUCACUUAUAGAUGGAUCCGCGCCGCAUUAGCUAGUUGGUAAGGUAACGGCUUACCAAGGCAACGAUGCGUAGCCGACCUGAGAGGGUGAUCGGCCACACUGGAACUGAGACACGGUCCAGACUCCUACGGGAGGCAGCAGUAGGGAAUCUUCCGCAAUGGGCGAAAGCUUGACGGAGCAACGCCGCGUGAGUGAUGAAGGUCUUCGGAUCGUAAAACUCUGUUAUUAGGGAAGAACAAAUGUGUAAGUAACUAUGCACGUCUUGACGGUACCUAAUCAGAAAGCCACGGCUAACUACGUG
RNAcentral lists this ribosomal RNA (497 nucleotides) under uncultured bacterium. RNAcentral's name for it is "partial 16S ribosomal RNA". It matches the Rfam family "Bacterial small subunit ribosomal RNA", at positions 28 to 507 of the family's 1533-position model. The record is from RNAcentral.